ACCUGCGGAAGGAUCAUUACCGAGUGUAGGGUUCCUAGCGAGCCCAACCUCCCACCCGUGUUUACUGUACCUUAGUUGCUUCGGCGGGCCCGCCAUUCAUGGCCGCCGGGGGCUCUCAGCCCCGGGCCCGCGCCCGCCGGAGACACCACGAACUCUGUCUGAUCUAGUGAAGUCUGAGUUGAUUGUAUCGCAAUCAGUUAAAACUUUCAACAAUGGAUCUCUUGGUUCCGGCAUCGAUGAAGAACGCAGCGAAAUGCGAUAACUAGUGUGAAUUGCAGAAUUCCGUGAAUCAUCGAGUCUUUGAACGCACAUUGCGCCCCCUGGUAUUCCGGGGGGCAUGCCUGUCCGAGCGUCAUUGCUGCCCAUCAAGCACGGCUUGUGUGUUGGGUCGUCGUCCCCUCUCCGGGGGGGACGGGCCCCAAAGGCAGCGGCGGCACCGCGUCCGAUCCUCGAGCGUAUGGGGCUUUGUCACCCGCUCUGUAGGCCCGGCCGGCGCUUGCCGAACGCAAAUCAAUCUUUUUCCAGGUUGACCUCGGAUCAGGUAGGGAUACCCGCUGAACUUAAGCAUAUCAAUAAGCGGAGGA
This 584-nucleotide ribosomal RNA is filed under the name Aspergillus flavus. Its description in RNAcentral is "eukaryotic LSU rRNA". The stretch from base 202 to 355 matches the Rfam family "5.8S ribosomal RNA". The record is from RNAcentral. Lineage: Eukaryota; Fungi; Ascomycota; Eurotiomycetes; Eurotiales; Aspergillaceae. RNAcentral also lists the same sequence under 1 other name.